This 289-nucleotide unclassified non-coding RNA is filed under the name Basidiomycota sp. RNAcentral describes it as "partial contains small subunit ribosomal RNA, internal transcribed spacer 1, and 5.8S ribosomal RNA". The stretch from base 1 to 47 matches the Rfam family "Eukaryotic small subunit ribosomal RNA", at positions 1785 to 1831 of the family's 1831-position model. The record is from RNAcentral. Lineage: Eukaryota; Fungi; Basidiomycota.
AAAGUCGUAACAAGGUUUCCGUAGGUGAACCUGCGGAAGGAUCAUUAUUGAAUAAACAUGGUUGGGUUGUAGCUGACUCCUUGGAGUAUGUGCACACCUGCCGUCUUUAUCUAUCCACCUGUGCACACAUUGUAGUCUUGGGGGAUUGAUUAGUGACAAUUUUUGUUGCCAUGUCGUCCUCUGAGGUCUAUGUUAUCAUAAACCACUUAGUAUGUCGUAGAAUGAAGUAUUUGGGCCUCAGUGCCUAUAAAACAAAAUACAACUUUCAGCAACGGAUCUCUUGGCUCUC